UGUGACCUCAAAUCAGGUAGGACUACCCGCUGAACUUAAGCAUAUCAAUAAGCGGAGGAAAAGAAACUAACAAGGAUUCCCCUAGUAACUGCGAGUGAAGCGGGAAAAGCUCAAAUUUAAAAUCUGGCGGUCUUUUGGUCGUCCGAGUUGUAAUCUAGAGAAGUGUUAUCCGCGCUGGACCAUGUACAAGUCUCCUGGAAUGGAGCAUCAUAGAGGGUGAGAAUCCCGUCUUUGACAUGGACUGCCAGGGCUUUGUGAUGCGCUCUCAAAGAGUCGAGUUGUUUGGGAAUGCAGCUCAAAAUGGGUGGUAAAUUCCAUCUAAAGCUAAAUAUUGGCGAGAGACCGAUAGCGAACAAGUACCGUGAGGGAAAGAUGAAAAGAACUUUGGAAAGAGAGUUAAACAGUACGUGAAAUUGCUGAAAGGGAAACGCUUGAAGUCAGUCACGUUGACCAGGGAUCAACCCAGCUUUUGCUUGGUGCACUUCCUGGUUUGACGGGUCAGCAUCAGUUUUGACCAUUGGAAAAAGAUGAAGGGAAUGUGGCAUCU
Molecule: ribosomal RNA, 547 nt
Filed under: Cortinarius helvolus
Lineage: Eukaryota; Fungi; Basidiomycota; Agaricomycetes; Agaricales; Cortinariaceae
Description: eukaryotic LSU rRNA
Rfam family: Eukaryotic large subunit ribosomal RNA
Source: RNAcentral